GCGGCUGUGGUGUAGUCCGGUCAAUCAUUUCGGCCUUUCGAGCCGACCACCCGGGUUCAAAUCCCGGCAGCCGCA
RNAcentral lists this transfer RNA (75 nucleotides) under Candidatus Nanohalococcus occultus. RNAcentral describes it as "Candidatus Nanohaloarchaeota archaeon SVXNc tRNA-Glu". It matches the Rfam family "tRNA". Rfam says of the family: Transfer RNA (tRNA) molecules are approximately 80 nucleotides in length. Their secondary structure includes four short double-helical elements and three loops (D, anti-codon, and T loops). Further hydrogen bonds mediate the characteristic L-shaped molecular structure. tRNAs have two regions of fundamental functional importance: the anti-codon, which is responsible for specific mRNA codon recognition, and the 3' end, to which the tRNAs corresponding amino acid is attached (by aminoacyl-tRNA synthetases). tRNAs cope with the degeneracy of the genetic code in two manners: having more than one tRNA (with a specific anti-codon) for a particular amino acid; and 'wobble' base-pairing, i.e. permitting non-standard base-pairing at the 3rd anti-codon position. Lineage: Archaea; Nanobdellati; Candidatus Nanohalarchaeota. The record is from RNAcentral.